This 468-nucleotide ribosomal RNA is filed under the name uncultured bacterium. RNAcentral's name for it is "partial 16S ribosomal RNA". It matches the Rfam family "Bacterial small subunit ribosomal RNA", at positions 28 to 507 of the family's 1533-position model. The record is from RNAcentral.
GACGAACGCUGGCGGCGUGCUUAACACAUGCAAGUCGAACGGAAAGGCCCUGCUUUUGUGGGGUGCUCGAGUGGCGAACGGGUGAGUAACACGAGAGUAACCUGCCCUUGACUUUGGGAUAACUACAGGAAACUGGGGCUAAUACCGGCUAGGAGCUCCUGCUGCAUGGUGGGGGUUGGAAAGUUUCGGCGGUUGGGGAUGGACUCGCGGCGUAUCAGCUUGUUGGUGGGGUAGUGGCUUACCAAGGCGUUGACGGGUAGCCGGCCUGAGAGGGUGACCGGCCACAUUGGGACUGAGAUACGGCCCAGACUCCUACGGGAGGCAGCAGUGGGGAAUAUUGCACAAUGGGCGGAAGCCUGAUGCAGCAACGCCGCGUGCGGGAUGACGGCCUUCGGGUUGUAAACCGCUUUCGGCUGUGACGAAGCGUGAGUGACGGUAAUGGGUAAAGAAGCACCGGCUAACUACGUG